This 483-nucleotide ribosomal RNA is filed under the name uncultured bacterium. RNAcentral describes it as "partial 16S ribosomal RNA". It matches the Rfam family "Bacterial small subunit ribosomal RNA", at positions 30 to 507 of the family's 1533-position model. The record is from RNAcentral.
AUUGAACGCUGGCGGCAGGCCUAACACAUGCAAGUCGAGCGGAUGAAGGGAGCUUGCUCCUGGAUUCAGCGGCGGACGGGUGAGUAAUGCCUAGGAAUCUGCCUGGUAGUGGGGGAUAACGUCCGGAAACGGGCGCUAAUACCGCAUACGUCCUGAGGGAGAAAGUGGGGGAUCUUCGGACCUCACGCUAUCAGAUGAGCCUAGGUCGGAUUAGCUAGUUGGUGGGGUAAAGGCCUACCAAGGCGACGAUCCGUAACUGGUCUGAGAGGAUGAUCAGUCACACUGGACCUGAGACACGGUCCAGACUCCUACGGGGGCAGCAGUGGGGAAUAUUGGACAAUGGGCGAAAGCCUGAUCCAGCCAUGCCGCGUGUGUGAAGAAGGUCUUCGGAUUGUAAAGCACUUUAAGUUGGGAGGAAGGGCAGUAAGUUAAUACCUUGCUGUUUUGACGUUACCAACAGAAUAAGCACCGGCUAACUUCGUG